UUUGAAAGGAGGUGUUCACUUAACAAAAGAUCCUAACGUUGUGGGACAGCUGGCUAAACAGAUGAUUGGAUAUAAUCUAGCAACCAAACAAACUCCGAAAGAAGGUGUGAAGGUUCACAAGGUAAUGUAGAUGCUUUUCAGUCAUUUUGUAUGUGUUAAAAAAAAAAAAAAAGGAAAGAAAAGAAAACCAUCCUUCAGUUUU
Molecule: non-coding RNA, 202 nt
Organism: Microcebus murinus (gray mouse lemur)
Lineage: Eukaryota; Metazoa; Chordata; Mammalia; Primates; Cheirogaleidae
Source: RefSeq, a predicted model, not a curated record